Molecule: non-coding RNA, 136 nt
Organism: Candidatus Staskawiczbacteria bacterium
Lineage: Bacteria; Candidatus Staskawicziibacteriota
Source: Rfam
UAUAGUUAAGUUAAUAUGCCGCAGACAGCAGGUAUCCCGAUUAAAUCGAGGACCAAAUCCUGCCGAGGUAAAAUAUCAGCCAAUUUUGGCAGUAUUUUGUUUCUUGUCUGCGAAAGCAGGCUUUUUAUUUAUGGCA